RNAcentral lists this transfer RNA (68 nucleotides) under Chironomus tepperi. RNAcentral describes it as "tRNA-His". Lineage: Eukaryota; Metazoa; Arthropoda; Insecta; Diptera; Chironomidae. The record is from RNAcentral.
AUUUAAAUAGUUUAACAAAAAUUUUGAUUUGUGGUGUCAAAGAUAUAAAAAAAAUUUUAUUUUAAAUC